UGAGUGUUUGGUCCCCCAUAGAGAAAU
RNAcentral lists this non-coding RNA (27 nucleotides) under Mus musculus (house mouse). Lineage: Eukaryota; Metazoa; Chordata; Mammalia; Rodentia; Muridae. The record is from RNAcentral.